CAGUGGCCCGAGGGCCCGGCCGCACCCUCUCUCCCGGCCCGCGGGCCCCUUCCCACCACAGACCCCGCCCCGCGCCCUACCCAUCACGCGUCCCCGGUCCAGCUCCGGCGCCCACCCACCCCCGGCAGGCCCCGCCCCCGUGCUGUCCCUCCCGGAAGCGCCGGCGGAGCGUCCUCGCAUGGAGCGCGAGCCCAGCGCCUCGGAGGCCGCCCCCGCGGCGGCCGCGCUCUUCGCCUGGGGUGCAAAUAGCUAUGGGCAACUUGGCCUCGGCCAUAAGGAAGAUGUGCUGUUGCCCCAGCAACUGAAUGACUUCUGUAAACCCAGGAGUGUCAGGAGGAUCACAGGAGGAGGGGGCCACUCUGCAGUUGUCACAGAUGGAGGAGACCUCUUUGUUUGUGGCCUGAACAAAGAUGGGCAACUGGGGCUUGGUCACACAGAGGAUAUCCCAUAUUUUACCCCCUGCAAAUCCCUCUUUGGCUGUCCCAUCCAACAGGUGGCCUGUGGCUGGGAUUUUACGAUUAUGCUCACAGAAAAUGGUCAAGUUCUAUCAUGUGGAUCCAACUCCUUUGGCCAGUUAGGAGUUCCUCAUGGACCUCGAAGAUGUGUGGUUCCCCAGGCCAUUGAGUUCCAUAAAGAGAAGGUUGUUUGUAUUGCUGCUGGACUGAGGCAUGCAUUAGCUGCUACAGCGAGUGGCAUCGUGUUCCAGUGGGGGACUGGUUUGGCACCAUGUGGACGACGGUUGUGCCCUGGGCAGACUCUUCCAUUGUUUUUCACAGCAAAGGAACCAAGCAGAGUGACAGGUCUAGAGAAUUCUAAAGCAAUGUGUGUUCUUGCUGGCUCAGACCACUCAGCUUCAUUAACAGAUGCAGGAGAGGUGUAUGUUUGGGGAAGCAACAAGCAUGGGCAACUGGCUAAUGAGGCUGCUUUCCUUCCUGUGCCCCAGAAAAUAGAAGCACAUUGUUUCCAGAAUGAAAAGGUCACUGCCAUCUGGAGUGGGUGGACACACCUGGUUGCUCAGACAGAAACUGGCAAGAUGUUUACCUGGGGCCGAGCAGACUAUGGUCAGCUAGGGAGGAAGUUGGAGACUUAUGAAGGCUGGAAACUAGAAAAGCAAGAUUCAUUUCUCCCCUGUUCAAGACCACCGAACAGCAUGCCUUCAUCUCCGCAUUGCUUAACUGGAGCAACUGAGAUACUGAACUGCACAGUGGGAGAUGUGGAGAUGAAUUCCUAGAGCUCUGGUCUCAGGAGGCCCUCCAGGUGGAUUCUGCAUCAAGACAGUCUUUUGGAGUAAUAGCAAGGUCUCUUGUGGCUCAGAGCAUAAUUUGGCAAUAAUUGUAUCUCUGCAAGGUAAGUAUUAUUAUCCCGGUUUUGCUGAUGUGGAAAUGGAGUUGCAGAGAAAUUAAGAGAUAUACCCAAGAUCACACUGUUCAUGUGUCAUGGAGCCAUAUUUUGAAUCCUGUGAGAGACUUCAAUGCUGAUGAUUGGAUGACCAGACCAUCAAACCAUGCUGGAGCCCCAGGGCCGAUGGCCUGAGAGUAGAAGAAGGAGUAGGCUUUGAUAGCUGAGCCCCCAAAGGUGGAGUGUGUUACUCUUGGGGCUGGAAUGAGCAUGGCAUGUGCGGAGAUGGCACUGAAGCCAACGUCUGGGCCCCAAAGCCGGUGCAGGCUCUGCUGUCAUCGUCAGGACUCCUUGUGGGCUGUGGGGCUGGCCACUCCUUGGCCCUCUGCCAGCUGCCAGCUCACCCUGCAUUGGUCCAGGACUCCAGGGUCACCUACCUUUCCCCAGAUGCCAUCGAGGACACUGAAUCUCAGGAAGCCAUGGACAAAGAGAGAAACUGGGAGGAAAGACAAUCAGAAACUUCAACCCAAAGCCAAUCUGACUGGUCCAGAAAUGGGGGACUGUGAUAGAGAAUCUUUAAUAAAAUGGCUUUUCCCACCAAAA
RNA transcript from Pan troglodytes (chimpanzee), 1941 nucleotides. It is a transcript of the gene named secretion regulating guanine nucleotide exchange factor, with no coding region annotated. Lineage: Eukaryota; Metazoa; Chordata; Mammalia; Primates; Hominidae. The transcript has 14 exons. The record is from RefSeq and is a predicted model, not a curated record.